Molecule: long non-coding RNA, 310 nt
Filed under: Homo sapiens (human)
Lineage: Eukaryota; Metazoa; Chordata; Mammalia; Primates; Hominidae
Description: HSALNT0106103
Source: RNAcentral
CCACCUACUGAGCACCCUGCUGAUAUAUCAAGGGGAUAGGACAAUAAGAUUUACUCCUGGCUCCUAGACAACAUCAGCGUAUUUUCAUAGUGGUCCCAAGCUCCCCAGGGUGAUCAGAAGACCAGGCCUCCCAUCAGCCAGCCAGUGGAGGCUAUUUGGAAGCCCCUCAGCUCAACUGAGAGAGCCAGAGGCCCCUCCAGGCUGCCAGGAUCCAAGGAAGGCAGGAUGAAUCUCCCGCACAGUGGGAAGCAACCUCAGAUUGGGAAGAGUUCCUCCCAAAGUCAACUCAAUAAAACAAAGAAGUCUUAUG